CCCUUAGAUGUUCUGGGCCGCACACGCGCUACACAGAAGGAGGCAGCGUGUACUCCUGGAUCGAAAGAUUUGGGUAACCCGCGAAUCUCCUUCGUGCUAGGGAUUGAGGUUUGCAAUUAUCCUUCAUGAACGAGGAAUUCCCAGUAAGUGCAAGUCAUAAGCUUGCGCUGACUACGUCCCUGCCCUUUGUACACACCGCCCGUCGCUACUACCGAUUGAAUGAUUUAGUGAGGACUUCGGACUGGGACCGAUGCGGCUUUCGGGCUGCGUCGGUAUUCUGGAAAGAUGUCCAAACUGUAUCAUUUAGAGGAAGUAAAAGUCGUAACA
This 327-nucleotide ribosomal RNA is filed under the name uncultured eukaryote. RNAcentral's name for it is "partial 18S ribosomal RNA". It matches the Rfam family "Eukaryotic small subunit ribosomal RNA", at positions 1470 to 1796 of the family's 1831-position model. The record is from RNAcentral.